UUCGCAAUGCCCGAAAGGGUGACGAUGCGACGCCGCGUGAGCGAAGAAGGCCCUAGGGUUGUAAAGCUCUGUCGAGGGUUAUGAAAUAUAGAUGGGUUAAUACCCCAUUUAUUUGACAAAAGCCCAAAAGGAAGCCACGGCUAACUCUGUGCCAGCAGCCGCGGUAAUACAGAGGUGGCGAGCGUUGUUCGGUAUUAUUGGGCGUAAAGAGCACGUAGGUGGUUUUGUAAGUCAGGUGUGAAAGCCUUCUGUUCAACGGAAGAAUUGCAUCUGAAACUACAAACCUUGAGUGUAGGAGGGGAGAAUGGAACUUCUGGUGGAGCGGUGAAAUGCGUAGAUAUCAGAAGGAACGUCGGCGGCGAAAGCGACUCUCUGGCCUAUUACUGACACUGAGUGUGCGAAAGUUAGGGGAGCAAACGGGAUUAGAUACCCCGGUAGUCCUAACCGUAAACGAUGGGCACUAAGUAGAGGGGUUUU
RNAcentral lists this ribosomal RNA (477 nucleotides) under uncultured anaerobic ammonium-oxidizing bacterium. Its description in RNAcentral is "bacterial SSU rRNA". It matches the Rfam family "Bacterial small subunit ribosomal RNA", at positions 365 to 832 of the family's 1533-position model. The record is from RNAcentral.